This 91-nucleotide transfer RNA is filed under the name Corallincola platygyrae. RNAcentral's name for it is "tRNA-Ser". It matches the Rfam family "tRNA". From Rfam's summary of the family: Transfer RNA (tRNA) molecules are approximately 80 nucleotides in length. Their secondary structure includes four short double-helical elements and three loops (D, anti-codon, and T loops). RNAcentral also lists the same sequence under 3 other names. Lineage: Bacteria; Pseudomonadati; Pseudomonadota; Gammaproteobacteria; Alteromonadales; Psychromonadaceae. The record is from RNAcentral.
GGAGGGGUGCCAGAGUGGUUGAAUGGACCGGUCUUGAAAACCGGCGUAGGCUUAUACCCUACCGUGGGUUCAAAUCCCACCUCCUCCGCCA